This 253-nucleotide ribosomal RNA is filed under the name uncultured bacterium. RNAcentral's name for it is "partial 16S ribosomal RNA". It matches the Rfam family "Bacterial small subunit ribosomal RNA", at positions 524 to 776 of the family's 1533-position model. The record is from RNAcentral.
UACGUAGGGGGCAAGCGUUGUCCGGAAUCAUUGGGCGUAAAGAGCGUGUAGGCGGCCCGGUAAGUCCGCUGUGAAAGUCCAGGGCUCAACCCUGGGAUGCCGGUGGAUACUGUCGGGCUCGAGUCCGGAAGAGGAGUGUGGAAUUCCUGGUGUAGCGGUGAAUUGCGCAGAUAUCAGGAGGAACACCGAUGGCGAAGGCAGGUCUCUGGGCAUUAACUGACGCUGAGGAGCGAAAGCAUGGGGAGCGAACAGG